Molecule: unclassified non-coding RNA, 654 nt
Filed under: uncultured Prochlorococcus sp.
Lineage: Bacteria; Bacillati; Cyanobacteriota; Cyanophyceae; Synechococcales; Prochlorococcaceae
Description: partial 16S-23S ribosomal RNA intergenic spacer; may also contain 16S ribosomal RNA and 23S ribosomal RNA
Rfam family: tRNA (bases 301-373)
Source: RNAcentral
UUGUGGAGGAGGACGCCGAAGGUGGGGCUAAUGACUGGGGUGAAGUCGUAACAAGGUAGCCGUACCGGAAGGUGCGGCUGGAUCACCUCCUAACAGGGAGACAACAAAAUGUAAAUAUUAAUUUUGUCACCUUAGGUCGAUCGGUAUCUCAGAUUCUUAUUUUAAGAAUUUCAGUUUCUAAGUUUUUUCUAGGUCACACCCAUCACUUUUUCCUGGGCCAUUAGCUCAGGUGGUUAGAGCGCACCCCUGAUAAGGGUGAGGUCCCUGGUUCAAGUCCAGGAUGGCCCAUAUCUCUAUGUUGGGGGUAUAGCUCAGUUGGUAGAGCGCCUGCUUUGCAAGCAGGAUGUCAGCGGUUCGAGUCCGCUUACCUCCACUGAAUACCACCUCUUAACAUAUUGGAAAAGAGGGAAAUUGUUUUUGAGUUGUGUCCUAAUUUGCUCUGAGCGAAUCUAGCUUCCUAUUUUAUUUAAUUAAUAAGAUGCUGGACUCAUUGAAUUUUUUCAUUGUUUUCAGAGAACCUUGACAACUGCAUAGAUUAUUUUUGAAGACAAUAAGCAUCUUUAAUGAUGCAGAUUUAUUAUUUGUGCGAAUGCAUUAAAUAACAAUUCUAUUAAGCUGAUGCUUCAUUAAUUGAAGUUAUUGGUCAAGCUACAA